RNAcentral lists this ribosomal RNA (1122 nucleotides) under Mycotypha microspora. RNAcentral describes it as "SSU rRNA". It matches the Rfam family "Eukaryotic small subunit ribosomal RNA", at positions 646 to 1768 of the family's 1831-position model. The record is from RNAcentral. Lineage: Eukaryota; Fungi; Mucoromycota; Mucoromycetes; Mucorales; Mycotyphaceae.
UGCAUAUAAUAGCUGAUGUGCACGUGUCAUGAUCGACCGUCCUCUACCGAGACAGUAUUGUCGGUAUGCACUAACAGUCUCGGUAGUUUAUAGUCUUCGCUGGCUGAUGAGCGAGACCAGAUCAGAGUGUGAAAGCAUAGAUCGAGCAAGAAUGUCUAGCAUCGAUACAUUAACAUGACAUUAGAGCAUAGGACGUGCGUUCAUGAUUUGAAGUAUGUUGACCAGCAACAAUGGGGACAGUUAUAUUCGGUCGCGACAGUAGUCAUCUUCGAGUGACGAAAUUACUAGGAUACUCUGAAGGCAAAUGAUUCAGAACGCUUUCAUCAAGGAUGUUUUCAAGUAUCGGGAACCAAAAGUAAUAGAUUCGAUGGUGGUCAGAAACACUCGUUAUGUCAACUAUAAACUGGGCUUGUUUAGUAUGGGACGCUCAGCAUAUUAGGGAAAGUAAGGCUCUUGGGUUGAGGGGGGAGUAUGGGAGGCAAGGGGGGAGUAUAAUGGCAUUGACGGAAGGGCACCAACUUGAGGGAAGCGCGCGGCCUAAUUUGACUCAACAGGGGGAAUUUCACCAGGCCCGGACAUAGUCAGCAGGUACAGACAGAAUGCUCUUUGUCGGUUCUAGAGCUGGUGGUGCAUGUCCGUUAUGAGUUCGCGGAGUGAUUUGUAGGGUUAAUUCCGAUAACGAACGAGACCGUAUUAACGAACAUAGACCUGGUCCACUAAAUAGCCCGGUCCGCAUUGCGGGUCUGGCUUUUUAGAGGGGGAAUAUCGCUUCAAGCCGAAGGAAGUUUUAGGCAAUAAACAGGUCUGUGAUGCCCUUAGAUGUUCUGGGCCGCACGCGCGCUACACUGACAAAGUCAGCGAGUACAUCACCUUAGCCGGAGAGGUUUGGGUAAACUUUGGAAAACCCAUCGUGCUGGGGGAUAGAGCAUUGUAAUUAUUGCUUUUCCAACGAGGAAUUGCCUAGUAAGGCGCAAGUCAUCAGCUCGUGCUGAUUACGUUCCCUGCCCCUUUGUACACACCGCCCGUCGCUACUACCGAUUGAAUGGUUAUAGGAGGCAUUCGGGAUCAGUCGAGAGGACGGCCAACACUCCCCUGAGCAGAGAACUAGCAUCUCGUCUAGGG